Molecule: transfer RNA, 32 nt
Filed under: Laimosemion sp. Ventuari
Lineage: Eukaryota; Metazoa; Chordata; Actinopteri; Cyprinodontiformes; Rivulidae
Description: partial tRNA-Ile
Source: RNAcentral
UAAUAUAAGGGUUAAAGCCCCCUUCAGCUCCU